This 254-nucleotide ribosomal RNA is filed under the name uncultured bacterium. Its description in RNAcentral is "partial small subunit ribosomal RNA". It matches the Rfam family "Bacterial small subunit ribosomal RNA", at positions 26 to 285 of the family's 1533-position model. The record is from RNAcentral.
AGGACGAACGCUGGCGGCGUGCUUAACACAUGCAAGUCGAGCGGAAAGGCCCUUCGGGGUACUCGAGCGGCGAACGGGUGAGUAACACGUGGGCAACCUGCCCUUAGCUCUGGGAUAGCUCCGGGAAACCGGAAUUAAUACCGGAUAUGACCUAGGCCGACAUCGGCCGUGGUGGAAAGUUUUUCGGCUAGGGAUGGACUCGCGGCCUAUCAGCUAGUUGGUGGGGCAAUGGCCUACCAAGGCGACGACGGGUA